This 362-nucleotide unclassified non-coding RNA is filed under the name Hevea brasiliensis (rubber tree). Lineage: Eukaryota; Viridiplantae; Streptophyta; Magnoliopsida; Malpighiales; Euphorbiaceae. The record is from RNAcentral.
UCUGUGAAAAGAAAAGAAAAUUUGCGCACAGAUCUUGAUUAUGAUGUCUAGAAAGAAAAGCAGAAAACCAAACAAAAGCAGGUUGAACCGUAAAAGGCUAAGGGCAUAUGUGAGAUGUGAGCCCCUUCUCUCUCUGUGUCUAUCUUCUUCUUCCUUUAGAGCCAGUGUAUGGCUUCGAUUAGGGUUUUUGAGGAAAGAAAAAGAGAAAUGAAAGAAGAAGGUAGGUUAUUUAAGCUUUUAGCUGCAAAAGAGAAGACUGAAAAAAUAUUUCCACUGAGAAGAUCCUCUAGAUAGAGUGCAGGAUGGGGUCUCCAUUGGAGUAGAGAGUUUGCGGUGGCUGGCAACGGGUCAAACUCAAAGUG